AUGCUACUUCGGUCAUGAGCGUGACGACUGGUGGUCAGGACUUGUGCAAAAUGCAUGAGAUGUGCCUCCCUCAAACCAAAGCACAUUACCUGUCUGACA
Molecule: small nucleolar RNA, 99 nt
Organism: Cavia porcellus (domestic guinea pig)
Lineage: Eukaryota; Metazoa; Chordata; Mammalia; Rodentia; Caviidae
Rfam family: Small nucleolar RNA U13
Source: Rfam